UGGGGAAUAUUGGACAAUGGGGGAAACCCUGAUCCAGCCAUGCCGCGUGAGUGAUGAAGGCCUUAGGGUUGUAAAGCUCUUUUGUCAGGGAAGAUGAUGACGGUACCUGAAGAAUAAGCACCGGCUAACUUCGUGCCAGCAGCCGCGGUAAUACGAAGGGUGCUAGCGUUGUUCGGAAUCACUGGGCGUAAAGCGUGCGUAGGCGGCUUUCCAAGUCAGGGGUGAAAUCCUGGGGCUCAACCCCAGAAUUGCCUUUGAAACUGGAAAGCUAGAGUACUGGAGGGGAUAGCGGAAUUCCUAAUGUAGAGGUGAAAUUCGUAGAUAUUAGGAGGAACACCGGUGGCGAAGGCGGCUAUCUGGACAGUAACUGACGCUCUGGCACGAAAGUGUGGGGAUCAAACAGGAUUAGAUACCCGCGUAGUCC
Molecule: ribosomal RNA, 424 nt
Filed under: uncultured bacterium
Lineage: Bacteria
Description: bacterial SSU rRNA
Rfam family: Bacterial small subunit ribosomal RNA
Source: RNAcentral